UACAAAGAUGUGUUCCUGAUGUUAUUUUGCGGUAAGGCCUCGAACGCUUGAACAGACGACAACCUCUCCAGGCAUGCCAAAUGAAACAAGAAUCCUAAUUCAAAGUUUGCAUCACGCUCACACUUAUCAGAGCACUGGAAGAGACGGCAUAUCAAGAUCAGCAACAUUUGCGAGCGUGACCAUGGCUUGAUAUUGCGAGUCACGCGUCAAAAAUGCGAAGAAACUGGAUUUGGUUCGAAUACUCAAGGAGAGGCAUGAUUUCCUCUGUUUGACAUUCUCCUUUAAAGAAAAAUGCAAUUAAUUUUUUCCCCUUUUCUUCCUUUCAUAGUUCACUGCUGCCUUCGAUUAACGAGAGCCGGGAGCCCACUGCCGAAAUGAGCUCUUGGCUGUAGUCAAUAUCCUUAAAAGCCCAUCAAUUGUAGGUUUAAACAUUAGUGCCACCAAAAAAGGGUCAUUGUACUUUUUUAGCGCCAUCCUUUAAGUCAUCAGAAAGUUGUAGGUUCAUGAUUAAUAGGAAAUGGAGACAAUUCGUCUGGGAGUGAAGCGUUUCUAUACACUUUAUUACCAAAGUAUGAUUUUAUUGGUUUAUUCAAAACUCGAAAUGACAGAAUAAUCACAAGAUGCUUUAGACAUAGAUGAACAUAGCUAUCACGUUUUCAAAAAAAUUCCUUACAACAUUCCGUUUCCCACUGAAUGAAAUUAAUAAGUCUUCGAAAGAAAACAAAGUAAAGUGGUUGUUUCAUACGAAGAACGGCAGACUCCUUGAUCUUUUAAAUAUCAACGCGCAUAAUCUGCGCUCAGUAUCACCUAUCUACUCAUAUGUUACCGUGACUGUUUUUUCUGUCUACGAAAAUCUAAAAAGCACGCUGUAUAAGUAUGUAGGUACCAAAAUUACCAAUAUCCCAGUCAAUCAGAUCACAGAAUGCAGAAGGAAACAAUAUUUCUUCUCAUUAAGAACUAGUUCUUGAGCGCAAAAACAUUAAGUUUUAAGCUGCGAUAUGCAGAAGGAACCGAGAAUCAAAACUGUCUCCUGAAAUCCUGAAGGUCAAGGAAAGCUAUCUACCUAAGUACUUCAACUUGAAUCGAAUCACUACCUAACGCCAGGGCGAAUCGAACUCUUGUAUAUUCUUUGUUUCCAACUAGAUGUAAAACUCAAGGACCACUACCAAAACUCAUCUACCAUUUCAUGAAGGAUAAAAUUCUCAGGAAUACAAGGCCUUCAACGAUAUCAGCUUUGAUAAAAAGUAGCAAUGCUCGCAAAAAUCUUAAUGGCUAACCCAAGAAAGUUGGAAAAAAAA
Molecule: long non-coding RNA, 1298 nt
Organism: Stylophora pistillata
Lineage: Eukaryota; Metazoa; Cnidaria; Anthozoa; Scleractinia; Pocilloporidae
Source: RefSeq, a predicted model, not a curated record